RNAcentral lists this ribosomal RNA (806 nucleotides) under uncultured bacterium. Its description in RNAcentral is "bacterial SSU rRNA". It matches the Rfam family "Bacterial small subunit ribosomal RNA", at positions 8 to 796 of the family's 1533-position model. The record is from RNAcentral.
AGAGUUUGAUCCUGGCUCAGGAUGAACGCUGGCGGCGUGCCUAAUACAUGCAAGUCGAGCAAACAGAUAAGGAGCUUGCUCCUUUGACGUUAGCGGCGGACGGGUGAGUAACACGUGGGUAACCUACCUAUAAGACUGGAAUAACUCCGGGAAACCGGGGCUAAUGCCGGAUAACAUGUUGAACCGCAUGGUUCUACAGUGAAAGACGGUCUUGCUGUCACUUAUAGAUGGACCCGCGCCGUAUUAGCUAGUUGGUGGGGUAACGACCUACCAAGGCGACGAUACGUAGCCGACCUGAGAGGGUGAUCGGCCACACUGGAACUGAGACACGGUCCAGACUCCUACGGGAGGCAGCAGUAGGGAAUCUUCCGCAAUGGGCGAAAGCCUGACGGAGCAACGCCGCGUGAGUGAUGAAGGUCUUCGGAUCGUAAAGCUCUGUUGUUAGGGAAGAACAAAUGUGUAAGUAACUGUGCACAUCUUGACGGUACCUAACCAGAAAGCCACGGCUAACUACGUGCCAGCAGCCGCGGUAAUACGUAGGUGGCAAGCGUUAUCCGGAAUUAUUGGGCGUAAAGCGCGCGUAGGCGGUUUUUUAAGUCUGAUGUGAAAGCCCACGGCUCAACCGUGGAGGGUCAUUGGAAACUGGAAAACUUGAGUGCAGAAGAGGAAAGUGGAAUUCCAUGUGUAGCGGUGAAAUGCGCAGAGAUAUGGAGGAACACCAGUGGCGAAGGCGGCUUUCUGGUCUGCAACUGACGCUGAUGUGCGAAAGCGUGGGGAUCAAACAGGAUUAGAUACCCUAGUAGUCC